UGGCUAAGGUGUAUGUAAAAUUCCGACUUCAACUGUAUAUUUUGUAUAUAGGUGUGGUGGUACUAGCUAAGUCAUGUCUGACUACAACAGUGUACAACAAACCCAAACCAACCCAGGGCCAUAGCAAAACAUGUCACAGUUGGUUACAUAGUGUAACGGCGUCACCGGCCAAAAUCUAAUCGAAUUUGGAGCCAGUCAGUCUACAUCUGUAAAGCAUAGAAUUAGUUUCCAAAAAAGAUUACGUUAUUUCUCGAACUAUGUUUAUAAGGGAUGAUGACAAUCGUUGAUCCUGUUUUUCAGUUAGAUAAAGUGCACAGCUGGGUGCCAAACUGAUCCCCUGGACAUGAACGGAUGCUGGAACCUACCAGAAGGAGUAAAGGCCCUCCAGUUAACACCACCUCGAAAGAUUGCCUGCUGCGGUUGUUCAAGAGAUGGGUGGGAGGGGCCAUCAUCAGUAUCAUGCAGACCAGCCCUCGCUGUGAACAUUCCUAUGAAUUUGAUCAGUCAGCCACAUAUUGGCAAGUAUCCAUCCAGAAACAUUCACUUGUCAGUAUCAACAACAUUCACAGGCUCAUCAUUUGUACAAAUACAGAAGGUAAACCACUUCAUUCCUUUGAUAACCCAAUUGUGAAACAUAAUUUAUCUAUACUGACAUUAUUUGGUUCUUAUUUUCUACUUCUUAGAUGCAUAUGAUGCCCAUGGGCAUAAUGUAGCCUGGUGGAACCAGUCUAAUCGCUGUGUUCACCAUUCGAUUUCACUUGACAUUUGAUGAUAUCUGAAGUGAAAUAGAAAGGUGAAUGCAGCAAUCAGGCUGGUUCCACCAGGCUAAUCAUAACCAUUAUUGAUAAUGCAACCAGUGCUCUGUGUAUGCGCAUGCGACCGACCUGACGGACGACCGACCGAGGAGCUGAUCUACGCUGCUAUGCCCAUCAAUGGAGCUCUGGCAAAGACCUCACCUCUUGCCUCCUCACCAACGGUUGUCGAUGGGGAGAACAGAAUUAGAUACCUGUAUGGAGGCAGCACUUUGGAGAAUUGCUAUGGUGGUACAACUGAUUUCUGACUAUAACCGGUUACCACAAACCCAAACCAACCCAGGGCGAUAGAACAACAUGUCACAGUUGGUUGCAUAGUGUAACGGCAUCACCGGCCUGAAUCUAAUCCUACACCUGUAGGGAUAUUAGUUCUGGGAUUUGUCUCCUGGGAAAGAUUUAACAGCGGACAUGGGGAGAGAUGAGACAAAACCAUCCAGUUAUAGAAUAUUGUGUUGUAGGACAGCUGAGCUGACUGAAGACCUCGGGCAUUCAACUCCAGUAGUCGAUAUCAUUUCCACGGUAACAUGUAUUUACAUGACAUGAUGAAACGUUGAAAAUAAGUUGCAAGCGACUUUGGUAGCAAGGCGUUGUAGAACGAGUGUCUUAUGAAACACAUUCCAGACACUGGCUCUGGCCAUGUUGCAAUAACUGAUUUUGACAGAGACAUAUCAGCUAGGAGGAUAACCAGCUGCAGCUAUUAAAAAGCUAUGCUAGCUAGCUGCUGUCAGCUUGGCUAAACACAAGCAAAAGUGUAAAGUACUUAAGUAAGAAUACUUUAAUGUACUACUUAAGUCGUUUUUUGGGG
This is a long non-coding RNA of Oncorhynchus mykiss (rainbow trout), 1617 nucleotides long. RefSeq lists it as uncharacterized. The record is from RefSeq and is a predicted model, not a curated record. NCBI's taxonomy places the organism in Eukaryota, Metazoa, Chordata, Actinopteri, Salmoniformes, Salmonidae.